RNAcentral lists this ribosomal RNA (253 nucleotides) under uncultured bacterium. RNAcentral's name for it is "partial 16S ribosomal RNA". It matches the Rfam family "Bacterial small subunit ribosomal RNA", at positions 524 to 776 of the family's 1533-position model. The record is from RNAcentral.
UACGUAGGGUGCAAGCGUUGUCCAGACUUAUUGGGCGUAGAGAGCUCGUCGGCGGUCUGUCGCGUCGGCUGUGAAAACUCGGGGCUCAACUCCGAGCUUGCAGUCGAUACGGGCAGGCUAGAGUUCGGCAGGGGAGACUGGAAUUCCUGGUGUAGCGGUGAAAUGCGCAGAUAUCAGGAGGAACACCGGUGGCGAAGGCGGGUCUCUGGGCCGAUACUGACGCUGAGGAGCGAAAGCGUGGGGAGCGAACAGG